CCUACGGGGGGCUGCAGUGGGGAAUAUUGCACAAUGGGCGCAAGCCUGAUGCAGCGACGCCGCGUGAGCGAUGAAGGCCUUCGGGUCGUAAAGCUCUGUCCUAAGGGAAGAAUAAUGACGGUACCUUAGGAGGAAGCCCCGGCUAACUACGUGCCAGCAGCCGCGGUAAUACGUAGGGGGCGAGCGUUAUCCGGAAUCACUGGGCGUAAAGGGGGCGUAGGCGGCCGUGCAAGUCAGGAGUUAAAUCCCUCGGCUCAACCGAGGUCAGCUCGUGAAACUGUGGGGCUUGAGUGCAGGAGAGGAGAGGCUAAUUCCUAGUGUGGCGGUGAAAAGCGUAGUUAGCAGGAGUAACACCAGUGGCGAAGGCGGCUCUCUGGACUGCAACUGAGGCUGAGGCACGAAAGCGUGGGUAGCGACCAGGAUUAGAUACCGUGGUAGGC
Molecule: ribosomal RNA, 440 nt
Filed under: uncultured bacterium
Lineage: Bacteria
Description: bacterial SSU rRNA
Rfam family: Bacterial small subunit ribosomal RNA
Source: RNAcentral